This 253-nucleotide ribosomal RNA is filed under the name uncultured bacterium. RNAcentral's name for it is "partial 16S ribosomal RNA". It matches the Rfam family "Bacterial small subunit ribosomal RNA", at positions 524 to 776 of the family's 1533-position model. The record is from RNAcentral.
GACAGAGGGUGCAAGCGUUGUUCGGAAUUACUGGGCGUAAAGCGUGCGCAGGCGGUUUUGUAAGUCUGACGUGAAAUCCCCGGGCUCAACCUGGGAAUUGCGUUGGAGACUGCAAGGCUAGAAUCUGGCAGAGGGGGGUAGAAUUCCACGUGUAGCAGUGAAAUGCGUAGAGAUGUGGAGGAACACCGAUGGCGAAGGCAGCCCCCUGGGUCAAGAUUGACGCUCAUGCACGAAAGCGUGGGGAGCAAACAGG